RNAcentral lists this small RNA (20 nucleotides) under Arabidopsis thaliana (thale cress). RNAcentral's name for it is "ATSL144840". Lineage: Eukaryota; Viridiplantae; Streptophyta; Magnoliopsida; Brassicales; Brassicaceae. The record is from RNAcentral.
AAAAAGAAGAAAGAAAAAAC